This 1927-nucleotide unclassified non-coding RNA is filed under the name uncultured fungus. Its description in RNAcentral is "sequence contains 18S rRNA gene, ITS1, 5.8S rRNA gene, ITS2, 28S rRNA gene". The stretch from base 820 to 1927 matches the Rfam family "Eukaryotic large subunit ribosomal RNA", at positions 1 to 961 of the family's 3401-position model. Lineage: Eukaryota; Fungi. The record is from RNAcentral.
GGAAGGAUCAUUAACACGUUAUCCACGUAUCAACCAACGAGAACUGUUUUAAACUCUCCCCUCCUCAGAAUGGAUUGCGAGCUUGCUUAGAGUUAUUGAAUGGGAUGCUUGCGUCAGGCUCUACUCGCUUUCCACUUGAACGUAGAAAUACGUUUGGGUGGUCAAUCGUAUCUACUGGGAGGGCUCCUCUUACUGUUCAGUCUCCAUUCAUUGACUUUUUCAGUAGGAAACCAAUUUUACAAAUUUCACCCACUUUUUGCUAGUUGACUUUUCUAUGUUGCAUCUCUUUGCUUCGGCAAUAAGGUGUACACGUUUAAUUAUUUGAACGUUAAAAAUACAACUCUUAGCAAUGGAUAUCUUGGUUCUCGCAACGAUGAAGAACGCAGCGAAAUGCGAUACGUAAUGCGAAUUGCAGAAUUCAGUGAAUCAUCAAAUCUUUGAACGCAAAUUGCGCUCUUGGGUAGCCCUAGGAGCACACCUCUCUCAGUAUCGGUUCAAACAACUCUCAGCAGCGUGUUGAAAUUUAUUUCUAUACGUGUUGGCUGGAUAAUGAGAGUCUGAGUGCUUGCACGCAGUCUCUUUAAGUACAUGGAAUAAAUAAAAACUAACGAUCAGUUCUGUUAAUUUAUUAGCAGAUAGUCAAUUCUUGACUGUUGUUCGAUAGUGACGUGAAUAUUGGCCUUCGUGGUCUUCUUUUUUACGUGUAUCUAUUGAAUGAUAAUUAAAGUCGAAAAGUGGCGAAAGUUUGGAUAGGUUAUUUAUGUGAGAAAACCAUAGGAUUUGUAGUAUAAAUUAAUUUUUAUCUAUGGGUCUGAAUUUUGAUCUGAGAUGAAGUGAGACAACCCCCUGAAUUUAAGCAUAUUAAUAAGGGGAGGAAAAGAAACUAACAAGGAUUCCCCCAGUAACGGCGAGUGAAGCGGGAAGAGCUCAAUUUGAAAAUCGAUUUCCUAGACAGGACAUCGAGUUGUAUCCUAUAGACGUACUAUCAGCUGAAACCUGGGUAUAAGUUCUUUGGAAUGAGACGCGAUUCAGGGUGAGAGCCCCGUUUACGAUCCAAAGUUUUCAGCGUACGAUGUAUGUUCAUCGAGUCGAGUUGUUUGGGAUUGCAGCUCUAAAUGGGUGGUAAGUUUCAUCUAAAGCUAAAUAAUGGCGAGAGACCGAUAGCGAACAAGUACCGUGAGGGAAAGAUGAAAAGAACUUUGAAAAGAGAGUUAAAAGUACUUGAAAUUGCUAAGAGGGAAGCGCUAGAAACCAGUGAUACGCUGAGUCAAUCGCUUUUGGCCCCCCUAGACUGCGUAUGCAAUGGGUAACCUUGCGUGCGUAUUCGAAAAGGUGGUUAUGAGUUUAUGAUUUAGUGUCAGUCAAGAUCAAUUCGGAUUGUGGGAGAAGGUAGUGAGAAAGGUAGGAGGGCAACCUCUGUUAUAUUCUUAUUACUCUACCUCGGCCUGGAUUGAGGAAGUAAUGGUGCGCCGCUUGCGGCUUGGUCCUGCGUUCCUAUGGUCUUAUUUGCUCUGAUAGCAAUGCUAUCUUUGUGGAGAAGGGUUGUACUGGCGUAGUGAUUCGAUGUGCCAUAACGAUCUUGUACGAAAUGGUUUCUAUCGACCCGUCUUGAAACACGGACCAAGGAGUCUAACAUCUAUGCAAGUAUUUGGGUGCAAAACCCUGAUGCGUAAUGAAAGUAAAGGUAGCCUUGUGUUACUGAGGUAGGAAUCCUGCAAGGGAGGCACUAUCGACCGAUCAUCACUUGUGAAAGAUUUGAGUAAGAGCAUAUCUGUUGGGACCCGAAAGAUGGUGAUCUAUGCCUGAACAGGGUGAAGCCAGGGGAAACUCUGGUGGAGGCUCGUAGCGAUACUGACGUGCAAAUCGUUCGUCUGAUUUGGGUAUAGGGGCGAAAGACUAAUCGAACCAUCUAGUAGCUGGUUCCCUC